AGUGAACGCUGGCGGUAGGCCUAACACAUGCAAGUCGAACGGCAGCACAAUAAGAGCUUGCUCUUACGGGUGGCGAGUGGCGGACGGGUGCGGAAUACAUCGGAAUCUACUUUUUCGUGGGGGAUAACGUAGGGAAACUUACGCUAAUACCGCAUACGACCUACGGGUGAAAGCAGGGGAUCUUCGGACCUUGCGCGAUUGAAUGAGCCGAUGUCGGAUUAGCUAGUUGGCGGGGUAAAGGCCCACCAAGGCGACGAUCCGUAGCUGGUCUGAGAGGAUGAUCAGCCACACUGGAACUGAGACACGGUCCAGACUCCUACGGGAGGCAGCAGUGGGGAAUAUUUGACAAUGGGCGCAAGCCUGAUCCAGCCAUACCGCGUGGGUGAAGAAGGCCUUCGGGUUGUAAAGCCCUUUUGUUGGGAAAGAAAAGCAGCAGGUUAAUACCCCGCUGUUCUGACGGUACCCAAAGAAUAAGCACCGGCUAACUUCGUG
Molecule: ribosomal RNA, 492 nt
Filed under: uncultured bacterium
Lineage: Bacteria
Description: partial 16S ribosomal RNA
Rfam family: Bacterial small subunit ribosomal RNA
Source: RNAcentral